AUACGGAGGGUGCGAGCGUUAAUCGGAAUUACAGGGCGUAAAGCGCGCGUAGGCGGAUAUUUAAGUCUCAUGUGAAAGCCCUGGGCUCAACCUGGGAACUGCAUGGGAUACUGGGUAUCUAGAAUACAGUAGAGGGUAGUGGAAUUUCAGGUGUAGCGGUGAAAUGCGUAGAGAUCUGAAGGAACAUCAGUGGCGAAGGCGACUACCUGGACUGAUAUUGACGCUGAGGUGCGAAAGCGUGGGGAGCAAACGGGAUUAGAAACCCCUGUAGUCC
This 274-nucleotide ribosomal RNA is filed under the name uncultured bacterium. RNAcentral describes it as "partial 16S ribosomal RNA". It matches the Rfam family "Bacterial small subunit ribosomal RNA", at positions 523 to 796 of the family's 1533-position model. The record is from RNAcentral.